This 960-nucleotide ribosomal RNA is filed under the name Pediococcus acidilactici. RNAcentral describes it as "bacterial SSU rRNA". It matches the Rfam family "Bacterial small subunit ribosomal RNA", at positions 124 to 1127 of the family's 1533-position model. The record is from RNAcentral. Lineage: Bacteria; Bacillati; Bacillota; Bacilli; Lactobacillales; Lactobacillaceae.
ACCUGCCCAGAAGCAGGGGAUAACACCUGGAAACAGAUGCUAAUACCGUAUAACAGAGAAAACCGCCUGGUUUUCUUUUAAAAGAUGGCUCUGCUAUCACUUCUGGAUGGACCCGCGGCGCAUUAGCUAGUUGGUGAGGUAACGGCUCACCAAGGCGAUGAUGCGUAGCCGACCUGAGAGGGUAAUCGGCCCACAUUGGGACUGAGACCCGGCCCCAGACUCCUACGGGAGGCAGCAGUAGGGAAUCUUCCACAAUGGACGCAAGUCUGAUGGAGCAACGCCGCGUGAGUGAAGAAGGGUUGACGGUAUUUAACCAGAAAGCCACGGCUAACUACGUGCCAGCAGCCGCGGUAAUACGUAGGUGGCAAGCGUUAUCCGGAUUUAUUGGGCGUAAAGCGAGCGCAGGCGGUCUUUUAAGUCUAAUGUGAAAGCCUUCGGCUCAACCGAAGAAGUGCAUUGGAAACUGGGAGACUUGAGUGCAGAAGAGGACAGUGGAACUCCAUGUGUAGCGGUGAAAUGCGUAGAUAUAUGGAAGAACACCAGUGGCGAAGGCGGCUGUCUGGUCUGUAACUGACGCUGAGGCUCGAAAGCAUGGGUAGCGAACAGGAUUAGAUACCCUGGUAGUCCAUGCCGUAAACGAUGAUUACUAAGUGUUGGAGGGUUUCCGCCCUUCAGUGCUGCAGCUAACGCAUUAAGUAAUCCGCCUGGGGAGUACGACCGCAAGGUUGAAACUCAAAAGAAUUGACGGGGGCCCGCACAAGCGGUGGAGCAUGUGGUUUAAUUCGAAGCUACGCGAAGAACCUUACCAGGUCUUGACAUCUUCUGCCAACCUAAGAGAUUAGGCGUUCCCUUCGGGGACAGAAUGACAGGUGGUGCAUGGUUGUCGUCAGCUCGUGUCGUGAGAUGUUGGGUUAAGUCCCGCAACGAGCGCAACCUUUAUUACUAAGUUGCCAGCAUUCA